This is a long non-coding RNA of Hirundo rustica (Barn swallow), 1647 nucleotides long. RefSeq lists it as uncharacterized. The transcript is spliced from 3 exons. The record is from RefSeq and is a predicted model, not a curated record. NCBI's taxonomy places the organism in Eukaryota, Metazoa, Chordata, Aves, Passeriformes, Hirundinidae.
AAGAAAGGUUAAGCAGGUGUGUGAGGGACAGAUGGGGUGAUUCAAUGGUCAGGAAAGAGUUAGCCAGUCCUGCAGGAGGAAGAGAGAAUGAGCCAGAAGGCUGUGUGGAGCUGCCUGUGGGUAGGCUACAGAGAGAAAGGCUGUCGUCAUCCCCCGGCUGCCCCACCUCGCUGGCCCCUUCCUUUGCUGACAGCUCUGCGUCCUGCCUGCCUCUGCCUGGGCACACAAAGUUUUGGGCUUGAAACAAGCAGGGCCUCACUGAAUCAAAGAUUCUUCUGUGAUACCUUGGAACCUCAUGGAAGCAAAAUACUUUUUGACACAGCAGAACCACAUGGAACCAAUGGUCCAUUGUAAUACUGCAGAUCCAAGGAGACCAUUGUGACACUCUGGAACCUCAUGGAGCCCAGGGGCCCUUGUGACACUGAGAAACCUCAUGGAAUCAAAAGUACAGUGUGAAAGGCUUCAUGGAACCAGGAGUCCAUUGUUACACUGUGGGGCUCUGUGGAGCCAAGGGGACCACAGUGAUAUUGUGGGGCCUCAUGGAACAAUGGAGACUCUUCUGACACUUUGGGACCACUGGAACCAAGGGGCCAUUAUAGCAUGGCAGGGCCUCAUGGAAUCAAGGGGGCUGCAGUGAACACUGUCGGUGUCCUUGGGAUGAAGGGUCCAAUCUGACACCGUGGAACCAAGGAUACCAUUGUGACACCAUGGGGCAUCAUAGAACCCAAGCUCCAUUGUGACACAGCAGGGCCUCAUGAAACCCUGGAGGCCAUUUGUACACCUUGAGGCCCUGUGAAACCAAAGGGCCAUUGUGGCACUUCAGAGCCUUGUGGAUGAGCCAAAGGGCCAUAGUGACACUGUGGGGCUUAAUGGAACCAGGGGACAAUUGUGGCACUGUGUUGCACCAUUGAACCGAGGAGAUCAUUGUGACACUGCAGUGCUCCAUGGAACUAAGGAUUCAUGGAACAGUGCGGGACCCCAUGGAACCAAAAGUGCAUUGUGUCAUUGCAGGGCCUCAUUGAAUCCUGGAGACUAAGAUGAAACUUUGAGGCCUCGUUGAACCAAGAGGCUCUGCAGAACCUUGUGGAACCAAGGAGCCUCUUCUGAUAUUGUGAGUCCCUGUGGAAGCAAGAGUCCUUUGUGAUACUGUGGUACCAAGGAGACCCCUGUGACACUGCAAUGGCUCAUGGAAGCAAGGGGCAACAAUUGUAUUGCAACAGGGCCCAAUGGAAGCAAGGGGCCGGUGUGACACAGCUGGGCCUCAUGCAGCCAAGGGGCCAUUGUGAUCCUGAGGAGCCCAGAAGAACAAAGGGACCACUGUGACACUGCAGGACUACAUGGAAUCAUGGAGACCAUUGUGACACUGCGGCCUCAUGGAACCAAAGGGACCACUGUGACACUGUGGGGCCCCAUGGAAACACGGGGCCAGUGUCACACAGUGGGGCCUGAUGGAACCAAGGUUCCAAUAUGACACCACCAUUGUGACACUGUGGGGCCCUGUGGAUCCAAGGGAACAGGGAACAGGUCUGGAUAGCUUGGCCUGACUGACUCAGCUGACCCUAGCAUGUUGGGGGUCCCUUCUCCUGCACCCCUGAAACACUGGGGCUCUAGGUUUUCUUUUCUGUGGGAAAGAACCAUCCCUCCUGC